Panthera uncia (snow leopard) is the source of this 867-nucleotide long non-coding RNA. RefSeq lists it as uncharacterized. The record is from RefSeq and is a predicted model, not a curated record. Lineage: Eukaryota; Metazoa; Chordata; Mammalia; Carnivora; Felidae. The transcript is spliced from 3 exons.
UUCCCGACAUUUCUCCUUCGGGGUCUUCCAAGGAUCGGAAGGUGGCGGAGCCCCUGGCUGGGGAAACCCGCGACAGCUCAGGGCUCAAUCUGUCGGGCCUUUGGUGGCUCAUCUACAUCCCACUGGACCCUUAUUUCCACGCGGAAAAGUAGAGAUGUUUGGCCACCAGCAGCUGUCCGAAGGAAAGGGGAAUCCAAGGUUCCCGCAGACGGGCCAUCCACGGAAGAUUGUGUAGGGCCCUCUCGGAUCUGGAGAGGGCUGGUUGUUCUGGUGAAGACAAACCGGACGCCCAGAACCUGGCGGCGCCGGGUCUCCCCGGGACGAGGACGCCCCGCGGAGAACCCAAGUAUUGGGACCAAUUUCCUAUGAACGCAGAAUAUUUUCUCCUCCUCUGGGACACUUUUUGAAGCCUCUAAGCACAUUAUUUGCCAGGACCCUUUGGAUUCUCACAAUCUUCCUAACUCUGUCUAUAACCAAGACUUGCUGGACCUGCUCCAUUAGGGAAACUUGUGUUUUACAAGCUGUAGAAGAUAACUACAAUAACUAGGGUUUUCUUUUUCCUUUUCUUUUCUUUUUAGAGAAAAUUUCAAACUUAAAACACUUAGUAUUUAUGGGCAAUUGAUUUUUCUUUUAUUACCCAUUUAACCAUGGCUUUUCUUUGACGCUCAUCCAGAGGGACUCUCAUCAUCCAUGGCUAGAUCAGAGAAGCCAAAAGGAAAGGUCUUCAUCAUCUCUAAUCUCCAUCUCUCACCUCCCUCCAAAGCAGUUUGCAAUAAAGAGAACUCACUCCCACAUCCUGAUCCCUGUUCUUCUUUGAUCUUCCCCAUCAUUUUCUUAUUAAAAACAACUGCUCUGUUGCCACCACCA